GGGCCUGUAGCUCAGUUGGGAGAGCGCUAGAAUCGCACUCUAGAGGUCGCAGGUUCGAUCCCUGUCAGGUCCA
Sorangium cellulosum So0157-2 is the source of this 73-nucleotide non-coding RNA. The record is from Rfam. Lineage: Bacteria; Pseudomonadati; Myxococcota; Polyangiales; Polyangiaceae.